Long non-coding RNA from Cimex lectularius (bed bug), 982 nucleotides. RefSeq lists it as uncharacterized. The record is from RefSeq and is a predicted model, not a curated record. The transcript is spliced from 3 exons. NCBI's taxonomy places the organism in Eukaryota, Metazoa, Arthropoda, Insecta, Hemiptera, Cimicidae.
AGAUUUUAAAAACUCGACCAAAAAGACAGGGUUUUUCGGCAUCGGCAAGGAUGUUUGUUAAACAUGACCCUAAAUAAAGUUUUAAAAAAUUUCACAUCAUAUUUUACACGGACUAUCUUCUCAUUUUCAGCAAAGAUAAAGCACACCUCUUUUAUUUGAUAACCUGCAGCAUCGAUUAUCCACCUAGUUUUCUUCAAAUGGUUUUAACAUCUCAACGUCAAGAAUAAAAGCUGUGCUUUUUGUAAAAGAAAAGGCCUCCGAAUCAUUUUAUAGCACGCCAAAUUGCCGAAACGUAGGUCCAUCAGGCAAAGGUUUACAAAUAAGUCCUUGGUUCAUCAAAAGACCAUCUCAGAAAAUAAUGGCAGAACAAUUAAUUACAUGUAGUACAUGUUAGGACUAGAAUGACAGUAGGACUGCUGACGGGACACUUCAAACAGAAAUGAUGAAGUCUACAAAAGCUGGAAGGGAACCAUAAGGGAAGCACCGAAUGGGCCAGGGCACCGGGAGUUGAUGGAUGCAAAUUGUGCUCCAUUCUUUAUUUUCUCUUGCAGGCUGAGUUAGGGAUGAGCAUGGGCUGUGAGCAUACACAUCCUUCAAGUCUGUGAUUGCUUUUGCAUCAGGGUGAACGAGUUACAAAGUUACAAACACAACUCUCAACAUGGAUUGCAAUGGUGAACCUGCCCUGUGUUGUGAUCCACCUCCAAUGCGACGCUCCAAUGAGAACAUGACUAAAACACUUUUUUUGGGUGGCUGCUGGUAAAACGCUAAUCCAUCUAGCCGAGAAUUGACUGCAAGAAUAACAGAGCUCCUAGAAUUUUCAAUGAAAAAGUUUAAUUAAUUAUAGAGAUUUUCUACAUUUGAUAGAAUCUCUCAGAGGAAAAGACCAUAUUUGGGUUACAGAAACAAACAGUUCAUUCACUUAAAUCUACUCCUUUAUAAAUAUAUUUAUUUUGUACUUUAAAACAGUUUUUCAAAUUAUUUU